UCCAGGAUAGCCUAGUGGACAUGGCACCUGCCCGGUAAGCAGAAGGUUGUGGGUUCGAUUCCGCUCCUGGAC
This is a non-coding RNA of Cordylochernes scorpioides, 72 nucleotides long. The record is from the annotation of a GenBank genome assembly. NCBI's taxonomy places the organism in Eukaryota, Metazoa, Arthropoda, Arachnida, Pseudoscorpiones, Chernetidae.